ACACCACCUCCCAAGAUCUUUUCAGUACCACGUGAUGCAGCAGGAAGAAAGAAGAAACAAAAUAAAAGAAAAAAAAAUCAAAAUACGUGGAUCAGCCACAAAAGGGCUCGCCUCCACGGGGCAUGCAAACUUCAUUAUGAAAAAAAAAAUUUUACAAGAGAAGACAUCACCCUCAACCCUUGUACACCCAAUUCUCUCUCACCUGAAGUUUCCCUCACAAAAGCUCUCUCUCUCUCUUGGAGACCCUCC
RNAcentral lists this long non-coding RNA (249 nucleotides) under Elaeis guineensis (African oil palm). RNAcentral's name for it is "long non-coding RNA (EGUI_LNC013672)". Lineage: Eukaryota; Viridiplantae; Streptophyta; Magnoliopsida; Arecales; Arecaceae. The record is from RNAcentral.